Monodelphis domestica (gray short-tailed opossum) is the source of this 614-nucleotide long non-coding RNA. RefSeq lists it as uncharacterized. Lineage: Eukaryota; Metazoa; Chordata; Mammalia; Didelphimorphia; Didelphidae. The record is from RefSeq and is a predicted model, not a curated record.
GUGACCUAGGACCCAGAUGGUGUAACAUUUAAAAGGAGUGGAUGCCUUAAACUGUAGGAGUUAAAAUGGUUGAAGGCUAUAAACUGUAGUACAGGAAGAUUUGCUUCAGAUUUACAUGGAGCAUUCAAUUGAUCCCAGUGUGAGAAUUACAGCUUUUGUGGUCCUUUUGGAUGCUGUUUGGAUUUUCUUUGACCAUGGGGAUAGGAGAUACUAUGUUAAAGGAGACCAGCUUACAAGGGGUAGAGAUAAUUGGCAAAACAAGAAAUCAAGCCCUGUUGCUUUUGUCUUCCCAGCUGUCAAUGAUUACAAUGGAAAAUUUAACAGUGAUAUUGUUAGGUAGGCAGAAAGGAUUACCUGCUGGAAAACUUCCAAUUUCAAUGGAUUUCAAAAUAUUUGGUCAAGAGUCAUUCUUCUUAAAUAUCAACAUGAAGUAAAUGUUUGUUGGCACACAAUGACAACCAUGUUGAUCGAUACCACCAAUCUCUCAGUCUGGUAUUCAGUUACAGUAGAAGGCCUUGCCUCAUUCCCUGCUGAAAUUUGAUGCCAAGAUCAACUGGAAAGAAAAAAAAACCCUUCAAAUUUGAAAGUCUGCUCUGGUAAAGUUAAAAUGUAUA